GAUGAACGCUGGCGGCGUGCCUAAUACAUGCAAGUCGAGCGAACAGAUGAGGAGCUUGCUCCUCUGACGUUAGCGGCGGACGGGUGAGUAACACGUGGAUAACCUACCUAUAAGACUGGGAUAACUUCGGGAAACCGGAGCUAAUACCGGAUAAUAUAUUGAACCGCAUGGUUCAAUAGUGAAAGACGGUUUUGCUGUCACUUAUAGAUGGAUCCGCGCCGCAUUAGCUAGUUGGUAAGGUAACGGCUUACCAAGGCAACGAUGCGUAGCCGACCUGAGAGGGUGAUCGGCCACACUGGAACUGACACACGGUCCAGCCUCCUACGGGAGGCAGCAGUAGGGAAUCUUCCGCAAUGGGCGACAGCCUGACGGAGCAACGCCGCGUGAGUGAUGAAGGUCUUCGGAUCGUAAAACUCUGUUAUUAGGGAAGAACAAAUGUGUAAGUAACUAUGCACGUCUUGACGGUACCUAAUCAGAAAGCCACGGCUAACUACGUG
This 497-nucleotide ribosomal RNA is filed under the name uncultured bacterium. Its description in RNAcentral is "partial 16S ribosomal RNA". It matches the Rfam family "Bacterial small subunit ribosomal RNA", at positions 28 to 507 of the family's 1533-position model. The record is from RNAcentral.